This 217-nucleotide long non-coding RNA is filed under the name Drosophila guanche. Lineage: Eukaryota; Metazoa; Arthropoda; Insecta; Diptera; Drosophilidae. The record is from RNAcentral.
GCAUUAAGACAGUAGGAUCCUAGCAAGAUGAAUAUGAAGGGAAACUUUCCAUUUUUAAACAUAUAGUCUGGCUGAAUUCAUUUUAUAAAUACCUUAGCUCACGAUACUCCCAAGGUCACAACCACCCAAUUUUCAUGAUGAAUUUUAGCAUAACUGUAGAGUAUCGAUAAGGACCAAUACAUGACGGAGGAAAGCAGUGGCAGAAGCGAAAUAUUUC